AAAAAUCUGGAGAGCGGCGCACACGCCCACCGAAGGGGAAAAGUUUAAGCAUCGCUUAAGCGAAAAUCUCAGGUCACAGGACAGAUAGGG
Molecule: non-coding RNA, 90 nt
Filed under: marine eukaryotic metagenome
Description: Glycine riboswitch
Rfam family: Glycine riboswitch aptamer
About the family: This family represents the bacterial glycine riboswitch. Glycine riboswitches usually consist of two metabolite-binding aptamers domains with similar structures in tandem.
Source: RNAcentral